AAGUCGUAACAAGGUUUCCGUAGGUGAACCUGCGGAAGGAUCAUUAACACAUCCAACGUUAAAACAACCCCCGUGAACUUUCAGCUUGCUCCUGUAGCCCGUGAAAACAGCAAUCCCUGGUAAAUCAUUGUUGACCAGCUUUGACCUCUGCAAUCAGUGUCUGAAAGUGUCAUUGAUUAUGUAAAGGAUGGCGCAGUCACGAUCGCUCUGCCCCUUUACGACAACACAGUACGAAUUGGCCGCGCGUGAAAUUCGCAGGCACCAAAAACCGAACACCUGUUAACAAUGGAUAUCUUGGUUCUC
Molecule: unclassified non-coding RNA, 303 nt
Filed under: fungal sp.
Lineage: Eukaryota; Fungi
Description: partial internal transcribed spacer region
Rfam family: Eukaryotic small subunit ribosomal RNA (bases 1-46)
Source: RNAcentral